Non-coding RNA from Cherax quadricarinatus, 2749 nucleotides. The record is from RefSeq and is a predicted model, not a curated record. NCBI's taxonomy places the organism in Eukaryota, Metazoa, Arthropoda, Malacostraca, Decapoda, Parastacidae.
GAAGCGAAGAGCAUCUAUGAUAUCUCGUACUGCUACAGUGGCUGGAUUGCUAUCUUGCUUACCAUCCUCCUCAGUAACCUUCUGUCUCUCUGCACAGGUCCACUCAGCCCCAGCCAAGUCACUGAAGGAGUAGUGAAUCCUACGUGUAGACGACUGCACCAGUGGUUGUGUAGUGUUUUUCAUAGUUUCCCCAGGACACUCGGCAGCAAGAACAGGAUCCACAAAGAAGGAAACACCAAAAUGAAAGUUUAUACUUUGGAGACAGAGGUAGUCAAUAUGCAAGCCCACGACCAUGGAAGAGCUUGAGGGGAGCCCCCCCCCCGGGGAGCCCCCCCCCACCUUGGAAAUGUUUUGGCCCCUUCCUGGGAAUUCGCAGGAAUAGUAAGAACAUACAGCAAGGAUAAACAUGUGAUCAACCUCUAAAUAACAGAAUAACAGCAUUAUCAUGUGCAAUACUGAUAAGAUGGGUACUAUUUGCAAUUAUUUUGAGGGAGACCAGAUAGAUGAUAGUGAUGGUUGGCAAUAAUUUCGAAAGCACUCCCAUCAAGGAAGGCUCCUUGAUGCUGGUGAGGGGCUCUUGAUUCGGGAAAUUGGAUCUGUGCUCCAGUUCCCUGAAUUAAGCCUGAAUACCUUCCACAUCCCCCCCCCACAGGCGCUGUAUAAUCCUACGGGUUUAGCGCUUCCCCCUUGAUUAUAAUAAUAAUAAUUCGAAAGCACUGUACAAGCCUAAUACCCAAAUUAGAUCAAACAUGAAUGACCUUAAUAGGAUAAACAAUAGAUUAAAGCAUCUUGGGUAAAAAAAAAAAAUUACAGGAGUAUCAGGAGGAGAGGGGGUCACUUUAAUCAUUAUCAAGUUAAGAAAGGUUGAAACAGAAAAAAAGGGAAAGCCGAAAGAGAAUACGAAAUUUAGGUUACAAGAGAAUCAAAAACCAACCAAAACAGUUUCAUUCAGGUAUAUAGGGAUAAGAUUUGGAAAUAGGCCAGUUUUCAUGUAAUUCAGGUUAGCUUAUUAUUAGUAACAAAUUAUUUUUACAAUCGAAACUAAAUACUAAACCCACAAGGGUCAUACAGCACUGCAGGGUCAUAUGUGCUGAAGAUGAAAUAUGCAAAGAUCAGAGACCAGUGAGGGUCUCUGAUCUCCACUAUUACUGACUGCAAGAGGCAGAGUCAGUAAUAGUGGAGAGUGCUAAAGGGAAAAUAUAAUCAAAGUUGAUGUAAUAGAGCAGUUGCUGACAAAAAAGUCAAAGAGGGAGUCUGCAUCAAAAGUGGGACAGUAACAAAGAAAUUCAUACCAUUUUAAUAAGGUAUUUCCUGUUUUUUAUGCAAGAGGAUACAAACAAAAUCCCAGAAAUCAAUCAUUAUACUGGUCAGAAUGAAAAUAAAUUAUGUAAGAUCAAAGUCAUUAGUGGAGAGGGUUUUGGGGGGUCAACACCCCCACAGCCCAGUCUCUGACCAGGCUUCAUGGUGGAUCAAGGCCUGAUCAACCAGACUGUUACUGUUGGCUGCACACAACCCAACAUAUGAACCACAGCCCAGCUGGUCAGGUACUGACUCCAGGUGCCUGUCCAGCACCUUCUUGAAGACGGCCAGGGGUCUAUUAGUAAUACCACUAAUGUAUGCUGGGAGGCAAUUGAACAAUCUUGGGCCCCUGACACUUUGGCACUGGGAUUUGGAUAACCAGAUAGAUUGAAAUCAAGCAAGACAUGGGUGCUGAUGAGCAGUUCCUAAAAAUUCUAAAGGAAUAUAAGGAGAAACUUAGCAAACCCUUAUCUAGUCUCUAACAGAUCAACUACAAAUGGAUAUUGUACCAGAUGAAAAUGUCAGAUGUGAUACCUAUUUACAAAGUGGGGAAAUAGGGUCUCAGCUUCAAAUUAUAGAACAAUUAGGCUAGCAUAAAUUGUGGGAAAAUUGAAAGAUACCAUAUUUUACAUUUUACAGCAGACUGGAUGCUCUGGAGUUGGGGAUUCUCCUCCAUUUCUGAUUGGCUAAAUUUUGGAGAGAGAGAAAAAAAGGGUAUUUUGGCCUCCAAGUCACUGGAUAAAUUUCCAAGACUUGUUUUGCAGAAAAAAUAGCAUCUUUGAUGCCAUGGAUACAGUAAUUUAAUCAUUGAAUCUCAGCAGUUUUACAAAGAGGCAUCCUUGGCAGUGAAAAUGAUACACAGUACAUAAAGGCUCAAUGUUGGUCCUUUGAAUAUUUUUUGACUAUAAAGAAGCCUUCCCAGAUGUGUAUCAAGUUGCUGCUACAAUCACAUUUGGGUGCUCAGCUGGAAUAGGAGAGUCCGCAUUUUCAGAAUUACGUAAUCAGCUAACGUGUCAAGGGACAUUGUCCAAUCAGAAAGUAGAACUUGCUUUUGAAUCUUUAUGCACAAAUCAUUAUUCAGUCAAUGCAGACCAUGUUGAUGUAUGAUACAUUAUAAUUAUUAUAAUCAAGGGGAAGCGCUAAACACAUAGGAUUAUACAGCACCUGGGGGGGAUGUGGAAGGCAUUCAGGCUUGAUUUGGGGAACUGGAGCACAGAUCCAAUUCCCUAAAUCAAGAGCCCCUCACCAACAUCAGGGAACCUUCCCUGAGGGGAUGCAUGAUACAAAUAUAGAUACUAACAUGUAGCCUAAAUGAAAAAAAAAUAUUAUUUACCAUACUGUACUUUUCUUUUAUAUGAAUCUUAGUUUAUUUAUCUACCUUUUUUGCUUUAACAGUAAUUUAGUGUUGGUGAAAACUAGGCAAUACUAAAUUUUAAAAUAGCAUUUUUUA